AGCACUGUUUCUACUGGUGCUGGCAGAUGUAAGUCCGACGUGCACCACGCUGCACGGGCCUGGCAGAACAGGCCUCCUGGGAUUAC
Molecule: non-coding RNA, 86 nt
Filed under: unclassified sequences
Description: S15-Methanomicrobia ribosomal protein leader
Rfam family: S15-Methanomicrobia ribosomal protein leader
Source: RNAcentral